Molecule: ribosomal RNA, 117 nt
Filed under: Saimiri boliviensis boliviensis (Bolivian squirrel monkey)
Lineage: Eukaryota; Metazoa; Chordata; Mammalia; Primates; Cebidae
Source: RNAcentral
GUCUACGGCCAUACCACCCUGAACGCGCCCGAUCUCGUCUGAUCUCGGAAGCUAAGCAGGGUCGGGCCUGGUUAGUACUUGGAUGGGAAACAUAUACGUGCAUGUGCCAUUUUGAUA